RNAcentral lists this microRNA (23 nucleotides) under Monodelphis domestica (gray short-tailed opossum). Its description in RNAcentral is "mdo-miR-7398a-5-5p". The record is from miRBase by way of RNAcentral. Lineage: Eukaryota; Metazoa; Chordata; Mammalia; Didelphimorphia; Didelphidae.
UGUGUAGAGGCGAGAAAUAUGCC